This 85-nucleotide ribosomal RNA is filed under the name uncultured bacterium. Its description in RNAcentral is "partial 16S ribosomal RNA". The record is from RNAcentral.
UCAUGAGAGCUGUCUGUACCCGAAGUCAUCUUAGCCAACCUGAAAAAGGAGGCGGAUGCCUAAGGUAUGUAUGGUGAUUGGGAUG